UUUUAUAGCACAUCAUUUCAAGUAAUUUUGCUUAUCAAAAUGCAUUUGCAACCCCCCACCCAAAGGAAUCCACAGCUACCGCACAACCACAGCAUAAUCAUAAACCUGAGAAAUUACAAUUGUUUUCAGUUUACUUUGGAAUGUAGACACAGUUGAGACAGAUCUCAGUUGGUCACCGGGCAUUUAAUUCAGAGAACAGUGAGCACCAAUUGUAAUACACAGCAUCCUUUGUGGGAGCAAGUAGCAUUUGUCCAAGGAAUGACAGUGUGGUAA
This is a long non-coding RNA of Etheostoma spectabile (orangethroat darter), 273 nucleotides long. RefSeq lists it as uncharacterized. The record is from RefSeq and is a predicted model, not a curated record. The transcript has 2 exons. Lineage: Eukaryota; Metazoa; Chordata; Actinopteri; Perciformes; Percidae.